This 427-nucleotide ribosomal RNA is filed under the name uncultured bacterium. Its description in RNAcentral is "SSU rRNA". It matches the Rfam family "Bacterial small subunit ribosomal RNA", at positions 369 to 808 of the family's 1533-position model. The record is from RNAcentral.
CAAUGGGGGAAACCCUGNAUGCAGCGACGCCGCGNUGAGCGAAGAAAGUAUUUCGGUAUGUAAAGCUCUAUCAGCAGGGNAAGAUAAUGACGGUACCUGNACUAAGAAGCCCCGGCUAACUACGUGCCAGCAGCCGCGGUAAUACGUAGGGGGCAAGCGUUAUCCGGAUUUACUGGGUGUAAAGGGAGCGUAGACGGCAAGGCAAGUCUGAUGUGAAAACCCAGGGCUUAACCCUGGGACUGCAUUGGAAACUGUCUGGCUCGAGUGCCGGAGAGGUAAGCGGAAUUCCUAGUGUAGCGGUGAAAUGCGUAGAUAUUAGGAAGAACACCAGUGGCGAAGGCGGCUUACUGGACGGUAACUGACGUUGAGGCUCGAAAGCGUGGGGAGCAAACAGGAUUAGAUACCCUGGUAGUCCAAGGGCGAAUUC